GCUUAGAAAUGUUUACCUAGUUGAAUGGUAUAAGUGAAGUUGUUAUGAAUUGGAUAGUACAUUGUGAUAUUGAUAUGUUUUGUAUUGGUUGGUGUUUGAAAUGGUAUAAAUGAUGCUUUAUUGAGAGUAGUUGAAUGCCUAUAUGUGUCAUGUUUUGUGCCUGUAACAGGUCCAUUUUGCCCGGGCCCACAUAAAAAUAAAAUAAAAAAACAAAGCAAAAAAAUUUAAUUGUCCUAAGCCCGUUCACAAAUAAAGGCCCAAAUUUAUUAAUAGUCCAAGUCCUUCAGAUAAAGCCCAAUUUCCAACCCAAAUAAAAUAAGCCCGAUUGGCCCAACACAUUUGGAGUCUCUGGAAACCCUUGCACUGCAGCCUUAGUAGCGACUUCUUCACUACUCUAUACGACAUUAGAACCUGCGAGAAGGAAGAAAAUAGCAAUAACCGAAUCCAGUAAAUUGUAUAGCUGGAAAAAGAAAAUAAUUUUUGAUUACUUUGUUAUUUCAUUAGAUUUGGCUAUAAAAGCCAAAUGAAAAUACUGUAAAAUAGAUCUUCUUAUUUUCCUGGCAAGAUACCCGCACGUUGAAAAAGCAAUAGAAAAAAAAUCAAAAGAGGUGAUUCAAGUUUUUAGUUUCUUUCUUUUAAUUUUGAGAUCUUGUUUUUUCUUUUGGAAUAUUUUUUUUCCUUUUCUUUUCUCUUAUAUUUUGCAUGAAGUGAAUAAAAAAAGGAGAGUACUUACCUCUGGCCUCGGAUUCCGGCUCUUCUACGCAUGGUCGGCCACCAAGUGUGAUGGUGGUUCGGCGGUGUCUCCAAGUGCCCUAACAAUAGAGAUUUGCUUUGCUAUUAUGGCAGAUUCCCAUUAUAUUUUUUUUCUUUAAUUUUAAUUGCAAAGUGAAACAGAGCCAUGUUGGGGGGGGGGGUGAGAUCCGCGCGUCAACCCAUUUUGCAACCCGGAUCCGCGCCCUUUCGCUUCGAAUGGUCAAAUUGCGCGAUUGGUCCUUCG
Molecule: long non-coding RNA, 997 nt
Filed under: Gossypium barbadense (sea-island cotton)
Lineage: Eukaryota; Viridiplantae; Streptophyta; Magnoliopsida; Malvales; Malvaceae
Description: long non-coding RNA (GBAR_LNC009188)
Source: RNAcentral